RNAcentral lists this transfer RNA (68 nucleotides) under Cellana radiata. RNAcentral's name for it is "tRNA-Tyr". Lineage: Eukaryota; Metazoa; Mollusca; Gastropoda; Nacellidae. The record is from RNAcentral.
UGAGAAGUGGCAGAGUUAAAAGGCAUUAGACUGUAGAUCUAACCACAGGAAAUUAAUCCUCUUCUUAA